AACGAACGCUGGCGGCAUGCCUAACACAUGCCAGUCGAACGAGACCUUCGGGUCUAGUGGCGCACGGGUGCGUAACGCGUGGGAACCUGCCCUUAGGUUCGGAAUAACUCCCCGAAAGGGGUGCUAAUACCGGAUAAUGUCUUCGGACCAAAGAUUUAUCGCCUUUGGAUGGGCCCGCGUUGGAUUAGCUAGUUGGUAGGGUAAAAGCCUACCAAGGCGACGAUCCAUAGCUGGUCUGAGAGGAUGAUCAGCCACACUGGGACUGAGACACGGCCCAGACUCCUACGGGAGGCAGCAGUGGGGAAUAUUGGAUAAUGGGCGAAAGCCUGAUCCAGCAAUGCCGCGUGAGUGAUGAAGGCCUUAGGGUUGUAAAGCUCUUUUACCCGGGAUGAUAAUGACAGUACCGGGAGAAUAAGCUCCGGCUAACUUCGUG
RNAcentral lists this ribosomal RNA (433 nucleotides) under uncultured bacterium. RNAcentral describes it as "partial 16S ribosomal RNA". It matches the Rfam family "Bacterial small subunit ribosomal RNA", at positions 29 to 507 of the family's 1533-position model. The record is from RNAcentral.